RNAcentral lists this ribosomal RNA (484 nucleotides) under uncultured bacterium. Its description in RNAcentral is "partial 16S ribosomal RNA". It matches the Rfam family "Bacterial small subunit ribosomal RNA", at positions 30 to 507 of the family's 1533-position model. The record is from RNAcentral.
AUUGAACGCUGGCGGCAGGCCUAACACAUGCAAGUCGAGCGGAUGAAGGGAGCUUGCUCCUGGAUUCAGCGGCGGACGGGUGAGUAAUGCCUAGGAAUCUGCCUGGUAGUGGGGGAUAACGCCCGGAAACGGGCGCUAAUACCGCAUACGUCCUGAGGGAGAAAGUGGGGGAUCUUCGGACCUCACGCUAUCAGAUGAGCCUAGGUCGGAUUAGCUAGUUGAUGGGGUAAAGGCCUACCAAGGCGACGAUCCGUAACUGGUCUGAGAGGAUGAUCAGUCACACUGGAACUGAGACACGGUCCAGACUCCUACGGGAGGCAGCAGUGGGGAAUAUUGGACAAUGGGCGAAAGCCUGAUCCAGCCAUGCCGCGUGUGUGAAGAAGGUCUUCGGAUUGUAAAGCACUUUAAGUUGGGAGGAAGGGCAGUAAGUUAAUACCUUGCUGUUUUGACGUUACCAACAGAAUAAGCACCGGCUAACUUCGUG